AGUCGGCGGCGCGCGAGUAGUUUACUUGUGGGCGACAGGGGCAGAGGUGCUGAACACGUGAGCAACAUGCCCCUAUCGGGAGGAUAAUCCAUGCAAACGUGGGCUAAUACCCCCUAAUAAGCUUUUGAGGCAUCUAUUAGACUUUCUAGCUUAUAGUGUGCAUGACGGAUAGUCUCUCGUGACAUUAGCUAUAUGUCACGGUGACGACUAACCAUGGCUGCUAUGACAAGAGGAUCUGACAGAAAGGUCCCCCACACUGGAACUGACACCCACUCCAGACUCCUACGAGAGAGUCUUCGUCAGUAAUAUUGAACCAUGUAUGGAAAUCUCAUCCGGCCAUGUCCACGUGUUCGAAGAGGGCCCUGUUUUUUGAAGACUGCUUUUGUAUGGUAGCUAUAAAAUCUACGUGUACAUUGAUGAGAGUACCAUCCGAAUACGCACCUGCUAACUCCGUGUCAUCCGCCGUGAUAGUACGUAGGGAGCAAGCUAUAUCCUUAUUUAUUGGAUUGAAAGAAUGCGUAGGCUCUUUCAUACGUACUCUUAUACAUAUUUCCGCUUACCUGAGAGGCUGACGUUAAUACUAUCUCGCUUGAAUUAAUUAACUCCGGAUAUAAUGUAAGGAGCACCGGUGACAUGCGUAGAUAUCUCGCCUAUUAUCGAUUGUAAAGCCCGCUCGCAUGGCUAGUAUACCCGCUUAUACACCCAAGUGUGCCAAUCCAACAGCAUUAGAUACUCUGUGAUGCCACUCUCUACACCAUGAUAACUCAAUCUCAGCGAUACAGAAUCGGUGCUGUGGCGAACGCUCUCAGUAAUCCACCUGAAGAGUAUUACCGCGAGCUUGAACCUCCAAGGAAUUGAGUUCUUCCCUUACACGCUGAGGCAAGAACCGUACAAGUCUAUGACAUCCUAGGAAUCUCACUCAAACUCGAGAGGGCUUUAUUUAACUCAGAGAUGGAUGAUGCCUGUCCGACAUCAAUCCAGGUCCUGAAAUGUUGGCUUCAGUUCAUGCCCGAAGGUAUCCUUUAAA
This 1027-nucleotide ribosomal RNA is filed under the name uncultured bacterium. RNAcentral describes it as "bacterial SSU rRNA". It matches the Rfam family "Bacterial small subunit ribosomal RNA", at positions 60 to 1083 of the family's 1533-position model. The record is from RNAcentral.